GGCCCAAUGGUCUAGUAGUAUGAUACUCCCUUCGGGUUAUUCAAUCCGCAAUCAGUUCGGUUGCUGCUUGGGAGUGGUCCCGGGUUCAAUUCCCGGUUGGGCCC
This is a non-coding RNA of Coprinopsis marcescibilis, 104 nucleotides long. The record is from the annotation of a GenBank genome assembly. Lineage: Eukaryota; Fungi; Basidiomycota; Agaricomycetes; Agaricales; Psathyrellaceae.